This 613-nucleotide ribosomal RNA is filed under the name uncultured bacterium. Its description in RNAcentral is "bacterial SSU rRNA". It matches the Rfam family "Bacterial small subunit ribosomal RNA", at positions 28 to 638 of the family's 1533-position model. The record is from RNAcentral.
GAUGAACGCUAGCGGGAGGCUUAACACAUGCAAGUCGAACGGCAGCACGGGCUUCGGCCUGGUGGCGAGUGGCGCACGGGUGCGUAACGCGUAUGCAACCUGCCUUAUGCAGGGGGAUAGCCCAUGGAAACGUGGAUUAAUACCCCAUAGAAUGACUUUUCUGCAUGGAAAAAUGAUUAAAACUUCGGUGGCAUAAGAUGGGCAUGCGUAUGAUUAGCUAGUUGGUGAGGUAACGGCUCACCAAGGCAACGAUCAUUAGGGGUUCUGAGAGGAUUAUCCCCCACACUGGUACUGAGACACGGACCAGACUCCUACGGGAGGCAGCAGUGAGGAAUAUUGGUCAAUGGGCGAGAGCCUGAACCAGCCAUCCCGCGUGCAGGAUGACGGCCCUAUGGGUUGUAAACUGCUUUUCUACGCCAAGAAACCUGGUUACGAGUAACCAGUUGCCGGUAGCGUAGGAAUAAGCAUCGGCUAACUCCGUGCCAGCAGCCGCGGUAAUACGGAGGAUGCAAGCGUUAUCCGGAUUCAUUGGGUUUAAAGGGUGCGCAGGUGGGCUUUUAAGUCAGUGGUGAAAUGCUGCCGCUUAACGGUAGAAUUGCCAUUGAUACUGAGA